Molecule: ribosomal RNA, 242 nt
Filed under: uncultured bacterium
Lineage: Bacteria
Description: partial 16S ribosomal RNA
Rfam family: Bacterial small subunit ribosomal RNA
Source: RNAcentral
CAAGCGUUGUUCGGAAUUACUGGGCAUAAAGGGUGCGUAGGUGGCUUGUUAAGUCAGGGGUGAAAGUUUUCGGCCCAACCGGAAAAUGGCCUUUGAUACUGGCGAGCUCGAGUGCGUGAGGGGUUACCGGAACGAGCAGUGUAGCGGUGAAAUGCGUAGAUAUUGCUCGGAAGGCCAACGGCGAAGGCAGGUUACUGGUGCGCAACUGACACUGAGGCACGAAAGCGUGGGGAGCAAACAGG